CACUAGAAGCCGAUGAAGGACGUUACUAACGACGAUAUGCUUUGGGGAGCUGUAAGUAAGCUUUGAUCCAGAGAUUUCCGAAUGGGGAAACCCAGCAUGAGUUAUGUCAUGUUAUCGAUAUGUGAAUACAUAGCAUAUCAGAAGGCACACCCGGAGAACUGAAACAUCUUAGUACCCGGAGGAAGAGAAAGAAAAUUCGAUUCCCUUAGUAGCGGCGAGCGAAACGGGAAGAGCCCAAACCAACAAGCUUGCUUGUUGGGGUUGUAGGACACUCUAUACGGAGUUACAAAGGACGACAUUAGACGAAUCAUCUGGAAAGAUGAAUCAAAGAAGGUAAUAAUCCUGUAGUCGAAAAUGUUGUCUCUCUUGAGUGGAUCCUGAGUACGACGGAGCACGUGAAAUUCCGUCGGAAUCUGGGAGGACCAUCUCCUAAGGCUAAAUACUCUCUAGUGACCGAUAGUGAACCAGUACCGUGAGGGAAAGGUGAAAAGCACCCCGGAAGGGGAGUGAAAUAGAACCUGAAACCGUGUGCUUACAAGUAGUCAGAGCCCGUUAAUGGGUGAUGGCGUGCCUUUUGUAGAAUGAACCGGCGAGUUACGAUUUGAUGCAAGGUUAAGCAGUAAAUGUGGAGCCGUAGCGAAAGCGAGUCUGAAUAGGGCGUUUAGUAUUUGGUCGUA
RNAcentral lists this ribosomal RNA (677 nucleotides) under Staphylococcus aureus. Its description in RNAcentral is "partial 23S ribosomal RNA". It matches the Rfam family "Bacterial large subunit ribosomal RNA", at positions 37 to 711 of the family's 2925-position model. The record is from RNAcentral. Lineage: Bacteria; Bacillati; Bacillota; Bacilli; Caryophanales; Staphylococcaceae.